UUAAUUCAUGGUCAUAAUGCAAGAUGUUAUGAGAUGUUUAGAAUGGAAAAACAUGGGCCCUGAUCUGUUUUCAUAGUGACAAAAAACCCAAAACUACAAAUUGGGACUGCCUGGAAGUGUUUUUCAAAAACAGUUUUUGGAGAAUUGAAAACUGAUAGCAUCACUUUUUAGAGAACAUUAAAAAGUUGUUUUGGGAGUUCUGAAAACUGAUAGUUGCCUUACUUGAAAACACAGAGAACAGGUUUUACUUAUAAAAAAAAAACGCAGUGUUACCCAAUCGUUUAUAAUGCCGCACAGUCUUCUAUCUCUACAAGCUCUCUAUCUCUGCGAACUCGUUUCGUCUCUCUGCACUUCACACCUCUCUUCAGGCUUCUCUCACAAAUUUCUUCCAGAUCUCUCUAUUGAGGUCUUUUUACUUCUUGAAUAUCCAGGUUUGAAAGCUAUAAAUCAAGCAUGUGCUUGCUGAUGUUCUAAAGAGGAUUUUCUUUGGCAGAUAAAUCAAAAUGUCACCAACAGUCGUCGAAUAUUUUCUCUUUAAUUUUUCUUGUAAAAUCAUUGUAACAUCUUCAUUAAAAUUAAUAAUAAGGAAUGAGCUUUAUCUUUCAUUUUA
This is a long non-coding RNA of Cornus florida, 610 nucleotides long. RefSeq lists it as uncharacterized. The record is from RefSeq and is a predicted model, not a curated record. NCBI's taxonomy places the organism in Eukaryota, Viridiplantae, Streptophyta, Magnoliopsida, Cornales, Cornaceae. The transcript has 2 exons.